RNAcentral lists this ribosomal RNA (422 nucleotides) under uncultured bacterium. Its description in RNAcentral is "bacterial SSU rRNA". It matches the Rfam family "Bacterial small subunit ribosomal RNA", at positions 360 to 773 of the family's 1533-position model. The record is from RNAcentral.
AAUAUUGGACAAUGGGCGAAAGCCUGAUCCAGCAAUGCCGCGUGAGUGAUGAAGGCCUUCGGGUCGUAAACCUCUGUCGGGAGGGGAGAACGGUUGCCGUUCGAAUAGGGCGGUAGCCUGACGGUACCUCCAAAGGAAGCACCGGCUAACUCCGUGCCAGCAGCCGCGGUAAUACGGAGGGUGCAAGCGUUGUUCGGAAUCAUUGGGCGUAAAGCGCGUGUAGGCGGCUUGGCAAGUCAGUUGUGAAAGCCCGGGGCCCAACCCCGGAAUUGCAUCUGAAACUGCCUAGCUAGAGUCCCGGAGAGGAAGGCAGAAUUCCCGGUGUAGGGGUGAAAUCCGUAGAUAUCGGGAGGAAUACCAGCGGCGAAGGCGGCCUUCUGGACGGUGACUGACGCUGAGACGCGAAAGCGUGGGGAGCAAAC